GGAUUAAGAGCUUGCUCUUAUGAAGUUAGCGGCGGACGGGUGAGUAACACGUGGGUAACCUGCCCAUAAGACUGGGAUAACUCCGGGAAACCGGGGCUAAUACCGGAUAACAUUUUGAACCGCAUGGUUCGAAAUUGAAAGGCGGCUUCGGCUGUCACUUAUGGAUGGACCCGCGUCGCAUUAGCUAGUUGGUGAGGUAACGGCUCACCAAGGCAACGAUGCGUAACCGACCUGAGAGGGUGAUCGGCCACACUGGGACUGAGACACGGCCCAGACUCCUACGGGAGGCAGCAGUAGGGAAUCUUCCGCAGUGGACGAAAGUCUGACGGAGCAACGCCGCGUGAGUGAUGAAGGCUUUCGGGUCGUAAAACUCUGUUGUUAGGGAAGAACAAGUGCUAGUUGAAUAAGCUGGCACCUUGACGGUACCUAACCAGAAAGCCACGGCUAACUACGUGCCUACAG
Molecule: ribosomal RNA, 462 nt
Filed under: Bacillus cereus
Lineage: Bacteria; Bacillati; Bacillota; Bacilli; Caryophanales; Bacillaceae
Description: bacterial SSU rRNA
Rfam family: Bacterial small subunit ribosomal RNA
Source: RNAcentral